Molecule: ribosomal RNA, 462 nt
Filed under: uncultured bacterium
Lineage: Bacteria
Description: partial 16S ribosomal RNA
Rfam family: Bacterial small subunit ribosomal RNA
Source: RNAcentral
AAUGAACGUCGGCGGCAUGGAUUAGGCAUGCAAGUCGGGGGAAUCCCAGCAAUGGGGGAACCGGCGUAAGGGGCAGUAAGGCAUGGGUACCUACCUUGGGGUUCGGGAUAGCCAUCAGAGAUGGUGGGUAAUACCGGAUGACGUCGUGAGACCAAAGAUUUAUCGCCCUUAGAGGGGCCCAUGUGAUAUUAGCUCGUUGGGGGGGUAACGGCCCACCAAGGCGAAGAUGUCGAGCGGGUGUGAGGGCACGACCCGCGCCACUCGCACUGAGACACUGGCGAGACACCCACGUGAGGCUGCAGUCGGGGAGCUACGGCAAUGAGCGCAAGCUUGACCGAGCGAUGCCGCGUGGGCGAUGAAGGCCGUAGGGUUGUAGAGCUCUUUGGUGGGGGAGAAAAGUCGCAAGGUGUGAUUUAUCCCAAAAAUCAGCACGGGCUAAGUGCGUGCCAGCCGCCGCAGUAA